This 627-nucleotide ribosomal RNA is filed under the name uncultured cyanobacterium. Its description in RNAcentral is "SSU rRNA". It matches the Rfam family "Bacterial small subunit ribosomal RNA", at positions 110 to 770 of the family's 1533-position model. Lineage: Bacteria; Bacillati; Cyanobacteriota. The record is from RNAcentral.
GUAACGCGUGAGGAUCUGCCUAUAGGUUGGGGACAACAGAUGGAAACGUCUGCUAAUACCCAAUGUGCCGAGAGGUGAAAGCUUUAGUGCCUGUAGAUGAGCUCGCGUCCGAUUAGCUAGUUGGUAGGGUAAAGGCUUACCAAGGCGACGAUCGGUAGCUGGUCUGAGAGGAUGAUCAGCCACACUGGGACUGAGACACGGCCCAGACUCCUACGGGAGGCAGCAGUGGGGAAUUUUCCGCAAUGGGCGAAAGCCUGACGGAGCAAUACCGCGUGCGGGACGAAGGCUUUUGGGUCGUAAACCGCUUUUGUUAGGGAAGAACACAAUGACGGUACCUAACGAAUCAGCAUCGGCUAACUCCGUGCCAGCAGCCGCGGUAAUACGGAGGAUGCAAGCGUUAUCCGGAAUUAUUGGGCGUAAAGCGUCCACAGGUGGUUUAUCAAGUCUGCUGUUAAAUCGUAGGGCUUAACCCUAUAAAGGCAGUGGAAACUGAGAGACUAGAGUACGGUAGGGGUAGCGGGAAUUCCCAGUGUAGCGGUGAAAUGCGUAGAUAUUGGGAAGAACACCAGCGGCGAAGGCGCGCUACUGGGCCGAAACUGACACUCAUGGACGAAAGCUAGGGGAGCG